AUAAGCCAGCAAAGGGUAUUUCUACACCUCCAAGCUUUUCAGCAUUCGUAGAUGAACAUUCGUAGCAUCGACGUGAAUUAAACAGUUAUAGUAAGAAACAUGAAAGUGCACGAAUUUUUAAUAAUCUUGUUCACGAUCGAACUCGUUGCCUUACAACCGGGGGCAGGAGCGCUCAAGUGCUAUAGUUGCGAAGGCAAUUCAUGUAAGGAACAGAAACUUACCUCGGAAACGUGCAGCAGCAGUCCUUCAAAAACGACUACAAUCAAUCCUACAGACACGACUACAACCAAUCCUACAGACACGACUCCAACUAAUCCUACAGACACGACUCCAACUAAUCCUACAGACACGACUCCAACCAAUCCUACAGACACGACUCCAACCAAUCCUACAGACACGACUCCAACCAAUCCUACAGACACGACUCCAACCAAUCCUACAGACACGACUCCAACCAAUCCUACAGACACGACUCCAACCAAUCCUACAGACACGACUCCAACCAAUCCUCCAAGCUCGACUCCAACCAAUCCUCCAAGCUCGACUCCAACCAAUCCUCCAAGCUCGACUCCAACCAAACCUCCAAGCUCGACUCCAACCAAACCUCCAAGCUCGACUCCAACCAAACCUCCAAGCUCGACUCCAACCAAACCUCCAAGCUCGACUCCAACCAAACCUCCAAGCUCGACUCCAACCAAACCUCCAAGCUCGACUCCUCCAACCAAUUCUCCAAGCCCGACUGGACCCAAGGAUUCAAGCUCGAGUACUGCCUCGACUAAAUCCGAGCCUUCAGACCCGAAUUCCCUCGAAAACAAAACAACGAAGUCCGCGGCUUUAGCUGCCACGAAUAUUGAUAGAAAGCGUAGAAGUGUGAUCGAUCGGUUCUCACGAAUACAGUUCGUUAAUGGCAACGAUACAUAUCACUGUUAUUCAGCAACUGUGAAUGGCACGGAAUCCAAGGGUUGUACCACGGAAAAAGAUUUCUGUAAAGAUAAAGGAAGUUCAUGUAAACUCUGCGAAGAGGAUGGAUGUAAUUCGGCAACGUCAACUGUUGUAUUUACAUCUAUGAUUUUCUCUUUGGCAGUAAUCGUAUUAUUUGUAAGAUAAACUAAUAGUUUUCUUAUUGUAAAGCCAACUUUUUCAACAACAACGAUCAACAAUGCCUCAGCAACGAUCAACUAGAUCUUUCCAUUUCUUCUUUAUAAACAAAGAUAUUGUAUCGAACGGACACAGAGUUUUAUAAAUUUAACAGUAAGAAAGAAGUGGGAUUCUAUUGACAAUUAUAACUAAAAUAGCAUAUUGUACAUAUAUCUAUAAAGUUGUAAAAUAAAAGCUUUAUUUAUGUAAUUAUAGAUAGAACCAAAAUUACACGAGCAGUAAUUGAUGGUUCGUAUAAGUUGUGAACCUCCGUCCAUGGUAUACAAUCUAUAUAUUUUUACGGAUAUAAUAUAUAUAAUAAUCACGUAAAUCAGGACAUUGCACUUUGCGUCGGGAAUGAAAUUAAUUGUAAACAAAAGUGUAUUAAGUAUGGUUAAUUUGAUGUUUAACUAGCAAAUCAUUCACCGCGGAUCGAUGUGUAUGUAAGGGCAACGAACUCGAUGGAUUCGAUACGUUCCAGUCGUUAUACGUUAUAUUCAAGCUUUUCGACAUAAAUGUUUCUCACGCGAGAGUAACGCAAGCGUCGUUAUUCUCAAUAUGCAAAGAAAUUGCAUUGAACGUGUAGCAAUAAUAACUUGGAACGCUAUCAGAUUUCCAUCGACUUUCGGUCGAAACAACAAACAGGAACGUCAACAAAAUCGACAAUAUGGACGCGGGAAAUAUUGCGUGUUUCUGUUAUCAUUUUUCUGCGUAACAUAUUUCUAAUAGUAAUAUUUUCAGGUAUGCAAGUAAAUAUCUAAUUUUCAAUAUGCAGAAAGAUCCUAGAAGAGAAGAGGACAAGCACAAAAAGCAAAAUGCGAGUGAGCUGGGCGGGGGCGCAGAGGGAGAAGGGCUAUUUCAAACAAAGUUAGAACACACUAUGAAAGAGUUUAAAUUCAAAGGAUACGUCGAAAAAAAAUGGAUAUAUUUGGACGACGUGACGUCGAGCGACAAAAGACGAGUAUAAAGAAAAGAGAGGGGACAUGGAGGAAUAGUAAAUUAGCGAAGAAAGCGUGCGUGAACAUGAACUGUGUUGAACGUCACGACGCGAGGCAGUGCAUGAUGCGCGAUUAAGUGCAUGAAUUGAGAUUCGGACGUGCUGGUGGCCGGAGCGGUUCGCGCUUCGCGCGCCUCCACGGUGGUGUUCGUUGGGAAUUCUGGGCAAUUCUGGCGUUGCUCGCAAGGGUACGCGCGCGGUCGAGCAACUCGAUUCGUCGGAGCUGCGCCAAGCACUCCUCAGUCUCCACGACUCCGCGAGGAACCUCAGUCUACAGUCUAUCGUGACUGUUCGUGAGCGUCGUUUCGGUAGAGUUUUUCCGUCGCUUUCGCGUUUCUUUCAGAAUUGCUACCACACGAACGUUCCAUUAUUCUGUCCGUAACCUAUCUCUUGUUCUCUUUUACCACGUCGCCAAGUGAUAAGACUGAAAAAGAGGAAGAGAAAGAGAGGGAUAGACGGGAGAAUCUCCUUUCGACGUGGAUUCACAUCCUCUUCGAUUAAUCGACUCGUUCUGACCCUAAGCGAAGGAGUUGCUUCUCAUAAUCGGUGAAUCAGGUGACACGCGUCGAUCGGUGUAUCGAACGAGCUGUCAUCGUGGCAACAGCAGUCAUGCACGAUCGACGCGUUUGAAUCUUUCUCGUGUUCGUCCCUAAACGUGAAACAGGAUUUCGAGAUCCCCAGCCAUUCGCGGAUUACUCUGCACGGACGUGUGAG
Molecule: long non-coding RNA, 2848 nt
Organism: Bombus terrestris (buff-tailed bumblebee)
Lineage: Eukaryota; Metazoa; Arthropoda; Insecta; Hymenoptera; Apidae
Product: cell wall protein DAN4
Exons: 4
Source: RefSeq, a predicted model, not a curated record